This 253-nucleotide ribosomal RNA is filed under the name uncultured bacterium. Its description in RNAcentral is "partial 16S ribosomal RNA". It matches the Rfam family "Bacterial small subunit ribosomal RNA", at positions 524 to 776 of the family's 1533-position model. The record is from RNAcentral.
UACGUAGGGCGCAAGCGUUGUCCGGAAUUAUUGGGCGUAAAGAGCUCGUAGGCGGCUUGUCACGUCGGGUGUGAAAGCCCGGGGCUUAACCCCGGGUCUGCAUUCGAUACGGGCUGGCUAGAGUGUGGUAGGGGAGAUCGGAAUUCCUGGUGUAGCGGUGAAAUGCGCAGAUAUCAGGAGGAACACCGGUGGCGAAGGCGGAUCUCUGGGCCGAUACUGACGCUGAGGAGCGAAAGCAUGGGUAGCGAACAGG